This 465-nucleotide ribosomal RNA is filed under the name uncultured bacterium. Its description in RNAcentral is "partial 16S ribosomal RNA". It matches the Rfam family "Bacterial small subunit ribosomal RNA", at positions 28 to 507 of the family's 1533-position model. The record is from RNAcentral.
GACGAACGCUGGCGGCGUGCUUAACACAUGCAAGUCGAACGGAAAGGCCCUGCUUGCAGGGUACUCGAGUGGCGAACGGGUGAGUAACACGUGGGUGAUCUGCCCUGCACUUCGGGAUAAGCCUGGGAAACUGGGUCUAAUACCGGAUAGGAGCCAUUUUUAGUGUGAUGGUUGGAAAGUUUUUUCGGUGUAGGAUGAGCUCGCGGCCUAUCAGCUUGUUGGUGGGGUAAUGGCCUACCAAGGCGGCGACGGGUAGCCGGCCUGAGAGGGUGGACGGCCACAUUGGGACUGAGAUACGGCCCAGACUCCUACGGGAGGCAUCAGUGGGGAAUAUUGCACAAUGGGCGCAAGCCUGAUGCAGCGACGCCGCGGGGGGGAUGACGGCCUUCGGGUUGUAAACGCCUUUCGCUAGGGACGAAGCUUUUUGUGACGGUACCUAGAUAAGAAGCACCGGCUAACUACGUG